RNAcentral lists this ribosomal RNA (481 nucleotides) under uncultured bacterium. Its description in RNAcentral is "bacterial SSU rRNA". It matches the Rfam family "Bacterial small subunit ribosomal RNA", at positions 28 to 486 of the family's 1533-position model. The record is from RNAcentral.
GACGAACGCUGGCGGCAUGCCUAACACAUGCAAGUCGAACGGAGAUUAUUUCGGUAAUCUUAGUGGCGAACGGGUGAGUAACGCGUAGGCAACCUGCCCUUUAGUUGGGGGCAACAUCCCGAAAGGGGUGCUAAUACCGAAUGUGAUCGCUUUUCCGCAUGGAAGAGCGAUGAAAGAUGGCCUCUAUUUAUAAGCUAUCGCUAAAGGAUGGGCCUGCGUCUGAUUAGCUAGUUGGUGGGGUAACGGCCUACCAAGGCGACGAUCAGUAGCCGGUCUGAGAGGAUGAACGGCCACAUUGGGACUGAGACACGGGCCCAGACUCCUACGGGAGGCAGCAGUGGGGAAUCUUCCGCAAUGGGCGAAAGCCUGACGGAGCAAUGCCGCGUGAGUGAUGAAGGAAUUCGUUCCGUAAAGCUCUUCUGUUUUAUGACGAAUGUGCAGACUGUGAAUAAUGGUUUGUAAAUGACGGUAGUAAAACGAA